GGCGAUCAGAUACCGCCCUAGUUCUGACCGUAAACUAUGCCAACUAGCGAUUCGCCGGUGGAUUAUCUGCCUUGGCGAGGAGCUCCCCGGAAACGAAAGUCUUCCGGUUCCGGGGGAAGUAUGGUUGCAAAGCUGAAACUUAAAGGAAUUGACGGAAGGACACCACCAGGAGUGGAGCCUGCGGCUUAAUUUGACUCAACACGGGAAAACUCACCCGGGCCGGACGGUAUAAGGAUUGACAGAUUGAUAGCUCUUUCAUGAUUUGGUGGUUGGUGGUGCAUGGCCGUUCUUAGUUCGUGGAUUGAUUUGUCUGGUUUAUUCCGAUAACGAACGAGACUUAAGCCUACUAAAUAGUUGGCUCAUUCACUCUAUGUGUGAGUGUUAUACUUCCUAGAGGAAUUUUCGGUGUUUAACCGCAUGAAAAUGAGCAAUAACAGGUCUGUGAUGCCCUUAGAUGUCCGGGGCUGCACGCGCGCUACACUGGUGUAGCCAGCGUGUAUAUCCUUUCUCGUUAGAGACUGGGUAAACCAAUCAAAUUACGCCGUGAUUGGGAUUGGAAAUUGCAAUUAUUUUCCGUUAACGAGGAAUUCCAAGUAAAUACGAGUCAUUAACUCGCGUUGAUUACGUCCCUGCCCUUUGUA
RNAcentral lists this ribosomal RNA (641 nucleotides) under cf. Gymnotylenchus sp. TSH-2005. RNAcentral describes it as "SSU rRNA". It matches the Rfam family "Eukaryotic small subunit ribosomal RNA", at positions 1003 to 1664 of the family's 1831-position model. Lineage: Eukaryota; Metazoa; Nematoda; Chromadorea; Rhabditida; Neotylenchidae. The record is from RNAcentral.